This is a long non-coding RNA of Raphanus sativus (radish), 280 nucleotides long. RefSeq lists it as uncharacterized. NCBI's taxonomy places the organism in Eukaryota, Viridiplantae, Streptophyta, Magnoliopsida, Brassicales, Brassicaceae. The record is from RefSeq and is a predicted model, not a curated record. The transcript is spliced from 2 exons.
UCUAACACUAACAAUGGCGGAAGAGGUGACGAAGCCAUGGGAGCCCAUCGCUCAAUCAAUCCAAAACUUUUGGAUCGGCUACGAAGAGAGAGGAGAAGGAGACUUGAAGAAGUUCUGCGAGGAUGAAAACUUUCCGAAAGAAUACUAUGAGUAAAGCUCGCGAAUAUGUGAUGUGAUGAUGAUAUGAUUGCUCUGUUUCGGUCGCAGGGCUCAAUAUUCAAUUUGAUGUUGAUCUUAUAAUAUAAAUUUAUAUGUGGAUGUUGUGAUAUAUUGUGAUAAU